AACGAACGCUGGCGGCAUGCCUAACACAUGCAAGUCGAACGAGACCUUCGGGUCUAGUGGCGCACGGGUGCGUAACGCGUGGGAACCUGCCCUUAGGUUCGGAAUAACUCCCCGAAAGGGGUGCUAAUACCGGAUAAUGUCUUCGGACCAAAGAUUUAUCGCCUUUGGAUGGGCCCGCGUUGGAUUAGCUAGUUGGUAGGGUAAAAGCCUACCAAGGCGCCGAUCCAUAGCUGGUCUGAGAGGAUGAUCAGCCACACUGGGACUGAGACACGGCCCAGACUCCUACGGGAGGCAGCAGUGGGGAAUAUUGGACAAUGGGCGAAAGCCUGAUCCAGCAAUGCCGCGUGAGUGAUGAAGGCCUUAGGGUUGUAAAGCUCUUUUAACCGGGAUGAUAAUGACAGUACCGGGAGAAUAAGCUCCGGCUAACUCCGUG
RNAcentral lists this ribosomal RNA (433 nucleotides) under uncultured bacterium. RNAcentral describes it as "partial 16S ribosomal RNA". It matches the Rfam family "Bacterial small subunit ribosomal RNA", at positions 29 to 507 of the family's 1533-position model. The record is from RNAcentral.